GGUUUUAUAAGAAUUGUUGAUAAGCAGAUGACUUAGCCUUUGAGGUAACUUUAGCCGUCCAUAUGAAAUUAACAGGAGGAAAAUAGCUGGAAUUAGAAAAGAAGCAAGUAAUGCUAAGAAUGAUUUACAUGAUAAUUCCACAUCCGCUUAUAUAGCCCUUGGAAGAAAUGAAUAGAAGCAAGAAGAUUCAGUUAUAUAAUAAGCUAUGACACUUCUUGCUUAUUGAAUUUCUAAAGGAAUGGAAAUUCCUAGAAGCACUGGAUCCAUCCAAGACACAAAAACUAGGAAUGGUUAGAUGAUUGGAAUUAUAGAGAAUUCAAAGGUUAGGAAAUUAUAGAAAAGCGAGCUUCCCCUUCCCUAAGAUUCUUCCUGAUGUAAAUCGGGAAACUAUCACCAACUUAAAAGAACCAGUGGGCUAAUCGGAGGUUAUCUUAUAUCUGAAAAAUGAAUUUACAAUGGCUUGCAUGAGAAAUGUUGAUUCCCUUCCAUGUGUCUCACAUAUUCUACAAAAGGCGAUACCUACUUCUAAUUAAUUUAUGUCAAUGGAGAGUGAUUUUAUUGGAAAUUUCCAUGGCCACUUUCAACUCAAACAAAAUUUUUUCUAGACACCAAAUUAUCAAGAACCAAACCUCUAUCAGACUUGGCUUUACACUUUACACCAUAUUUUCAAACUCACAUGACAAGAUAAUUCCACUUAUUCUCUCUAAUACCAAACCAUAGAAAAUCAUUCUAAUUUUCUGAAGUUCUUUGGCCACCACCUCAAGAGGAAUUAUAGACAAAGAAAAUAACAUUGUAAGGAGGAUAGGAAAUUUUGAAUGAGAAAUAUGUGACAUUCUAAAAUAUGGAAGGCCCUCUUCCAUCCAUAACUACUCAAGAGACUUCAUUGGAUGUAGGAUCCAAAAGAAAAGACAACAUUAAUUAU
This 922-nucleotide unclassified non-coding RNA is filed under the name Hevea brasiliensis (rubber tree). Lineage: Eukaryota; Viridiplantae; Streptophyta; Magnoliopsida; Malpighiales; Euphorbiaceae. The record is from RNAcentral.